CCUAAGAAGUAAGUGGUGUCCCUUUCAGGAGUGUUGAUGUCGAGUGUUAAUGUGAAGUUCCACUCUCAUUUGUCUGGGUACAAUUUCCUUCAACAGUUGGAAGCGUUUUGGGGACUCUCUCGCCCCCUUCAGGCUAAAGGAGGAAGAACAUCGUGACGUACCUGUGCAGGAGUUGCGGAGAGAGAGUCCGUGGAAGGUUUCAGACAAGGACUUGGAAGCCUUAAGACCAAAGUCUGAGAGGAAGGUGCGUCUGAAUGAGAUCAUUCGAAGGAAUUCCAAGCACGCUGCUCUGGUCAUUGUGAGUUUGCCUGUACCCCAGAGUGACUGUCCCAGCUCUCUCUACAUGGCCUGGCUGGACUCUCUGACCUGUGGCCUCCACUGUCCAGCUCUGCUCAUACGAGGCAACCAGCAGAAUGUGCUCACCUUCUACUGCCAGUGAAGAGGAAGACACACUCCGCUGGGCCUUAAUGGACCUCUGGUGGACCUUCCCUAUUGUUAUCAUUCAUUGCCUGGGCCUCUAUGGGUGGUAUUAACUCCUGCAACGAGUGACUUGUUUGUUCACCUCAACUCUUGCUUCUGAAGGAAAGUGUUUAGUGGGAAAGUUGAAUGUCUUUUUGCAGUAAAUGUGUAGGGAACAUAGACUUAUAAUAGACUGUGAUUGCUUAUUGGCCUUCUGAAGCCAAGCAGCCAAAGUGCAUUGGAUGGGGGCUGCUGCUGUCGCUCUACCUGCUAAAAUAGCUUUAGACUAAAGGGCCAUAAGAGUUGAAUACUGAUCUGCCUGUUUCAUGUUUAUGUAAUGGAACUAUGGUUAGCUAUGUGACCUAAUUUCCUGUUGCCUGAAAAAACAGGUGGCAUUUCUUUGUUACAUCACUUCCUGACCCAGUGGAGAGCUGUGACCAUUAGAUGCUUGAGAAACUAU
Long non-coding RNA from Clupea harengus (Atlantic herring), 919 nucleotides. RefSeq lists it as uncharacterized. NCBI's taxonomy places the organism in Eukaryota, Metazoa, Chordata, Actinopteri, Clupeiformes, Clupeidae. The transcript has 3 exons. The record is from RefSeq and is a predicted model, not a curated record.